AUUGAACGCUGGCGGCAUGCUUUACACAUGCAAGUCGAACGGCAGCGCGGGCUUCGGCCUGGCGGCGAGUGGCGAACGGGUGAGUAAUACAUCGGAACGUGCCCAGUAGUGGGGGAUAGCUCGGCGAAAGCCGGAUUAAUACCGCAUACGACCUGAGGGUGAAAGCGGGGGAUCUUCGGACCUCGCGCUAUUGGCGCGGCCGAUGGCAGAUUAGCUAGUUGGUGGGGUAAAGGCCUACCAAGGCGACGAUCUGUAGCUGGUCUGAGAGGACGACCAGCCACACUGGGACUGAGACACGGCCCAGACUCCUACGGGAGGCAGCAGUGGGGAAUUUUGGACAAUGGGCGAAAGCCUGAUCCAGCAAUGCCGCGUGUGUGAUGAAGGCCUUCGGGUUGUAAAGCACUUUUGGCGGGAACGAAAGGGACUGUGCCAAUACCACGGUUCGAUGACGGUACCCGCAGAAUAAGCACCGGCUAACUACGUG
RNAcentral lists this ribosomal RNA (484 nucleotides) under uncultured bacterium. RNAcentral's name for it is "partial 16S ribosomal RNA". It matches the Rfam family "Bacterial small subunit ribosomal RNA", at positions 29 to 507 of the family's 1533-position model. The record is from RNAcentral.